RNAcentral lists this unclassified non-coding RNA (1374 nucleotides) under uncultured Neocallimastigales. Its description in RNAcentral is "partial contains small subunit ribosomal RNA, internal transcribed spacer 1, 5.8S ribosomal RNA, internal transcribed spacer 2, and large subunit ribosomal RNA". The stretch from base 601 to 1374 matches the Rfam family "Eukaryotic large subunit ribosomal RNA", at positions 1 to 628 of the family's 3401-position model. Lineage: Eukaryota; Fungi; Neocallimastigomycota; Neocallimastigomycetes; Neocallimastigales. The record is from RNAcentral.
UUUCCGUAGGUGAACCUGCGGAAGGAUCAUUAAAAAAUGUGGUACCAAUUGUUGGUACUAAUUAAUCAUCCUACCCUUUGUGAAUUUGUUUGUAUGAAUUUUUUUAAAUGGGUCUUUCCCUAAGUUGGAUUGUUAGUAAAAUGCAAAAAGACUUAGGGAAUGACUUUUUUAAAAGACUUUUUUUUAAUUAAAACUUUUUGUAUUCAUUUGUCUAAAAUUUAUUUUUAUAAUAUAAAAACAACUUUUGACAAUGGAUCUCUUGGUUCUCGCAACGAUGAAGAACGCAGCAAAAUGCGAUAAGUAGUGUGAAUUGCAGAAUACGUGAAUCAUCGAAUCUUCGAACGCAUAUUGCACUUUUUUAGCUUACUAAAAAAGUAUGUCUGUUUGAGUAUCAGUAAAAUAUUCUCACAAAACAUAUUUGUUUGUGGUAUGAGUGUUUUACAACGAUAAACAAGUUGUUUCACUUUAAAUUCUUUUAUGUAAUUUUACCAAUUCAUAAAUUGAAAUUGGAUAAAAUUUUCCUUUAACGAGGAAUAACCUAAACAAUUUUAAAUUUUAUGGUUUGUAAACAUCAUAAAGGAAUCUAUACAACAAAUAACUUGAUCUCAAAUCAGAUAAGAGUACCCGCUGAACUUAAGCAUAUCGAUAAGCGGAGGAAAAGAAACUAACAAGGAUCCCUUAGUAACGGCGAGUGAAGCGGGAAGAGCUCAAAUUUGAAAUCUUCAAGGUUUGACCUUGACGAAUUGUAGUUUAUAGAAGUGUUUUCUGUUGGAGUUUUGGUAAAAGUUCUUUGGAAUAGGACAUCAUAGAGGGUGAGAAUCCCGUAUUUGACCAUGACUUUCCAGCUGUGUGAUACACUUUCAAAGAGUCGGAUUGUUUGGGAAUGCAGUCCAAAAUGGGUGGUAAAUUUCAUCUAAAGCUAAAUAUUGGCGAGAGACCGAUAGCGAACAAGUACCGUGAGGGAAGAUGAAAAGAACUUUGAAAAGAGAGUUAAACAGUACGUGAAAUUGUCAAAAGGGAAGCGUUUGACACCAGUGUUGUUUUCUCGAAAAUCAAUUUAAUGAGUUCUUGUUUUUAAGUUAUUGUGACUUUAUCAGCGCAUUUCUUAUUUUACUUGGCUCAUUGAAUGCACUUUUCGUUUAACAAGUCAACAUCAAUUUCUUUGGUGGUAAAAGUUUAAAGGAAGGUGGCUUGGACUUCGGUUCAAGUGUUUAUAGCCUUUUUUCUAUGCCAUCGGAGAGAUUGAGGUCUGCAGCGUAGAUCCUUCGGGUUAGAUACCUUUGUGCUAAGUUAUAGUUUUUUAUAGACAACUUGUUGACUAUAAUUAACCCUGUAAUUUAUCGCUUAGGCUAUUUACCUACGCUUAGGAUGUUG